RNAcentral lists this transfer RNA (69 nucleotides) under Ictidomys tridecemlineatus (thirteen-lined ground squirrel). RNAcentral's name for it is "Spermophilus tridecemlineatus (thirteen-lined ground squirrel) tRNA". It matches the Rfam family "tRNA". Rfam says of the family: Transfer RNA (tRNA) molecules are approximately 80 nucleotides in length. Their secondary structure includes four short double-helical elements and three loops (D, anti-codon, and T loops). Further hydrogen bonds mediate the characteristic L-shaped molecular structure. tRNAs have two regions of fundamental functional importance: the anti-codon, which is responsible for specific mRNA codon recognition, and the 3' end, to which the tRNAs corresponding amino acid is attached (by aminoacyl-tRNA synthetases). tRNAs cope with the degeneracy of the genetic code in two manners: having more than one tRNA (with a specific anti-codon) for a particular amino acid; and 'wobble' base-pairing, i.e. permitting non-standard base-pairing at the 3rd anti-codon position. The record is from Rfam by way of RNAcentral. Lineage: Eukaryota; Metazoa; Chordata; Mammalia; Rodentia; Sciuridae.
GGGGUUGUAGCUCAGUGGUAGAGCACUUACCUCAAGCACAUGAGGUCCUGGGUUCGAUCCUCAGCACCG